UACAGAGGUCCCGAGCGUUGUUCGGAUUCACUGGGCGUAAAGGGUGCGUAGGUGGUUGGGUAAGUCUGAUGUGAAAUCUCCGGGCUCAACCCGGAAAUGGCAUUGGAUACUAUUCGGCUAGAGGUUUGGAGGGGGGACUGGAAUUCUCGGUGUAGCAGUGAAAUGCGUAGAUAUCGAGAGGAACACCAGUGGCGAAGGCGAGUCCCUGGACAACACCUGACACUGAGGCACGAAAGCGUGGGGAGCAAACAGG
Molecule: ribosomal RNA, 253 nt
Filed under: uncultured bacterium
Lineage: Bacteria
Description: partial 16S ribosomal RNA
Rfam family: Bacterial small subunit ribosomal RNA
Source: RNAcentral